CGUGGCAACUUAUGAAAAUGAUAAUAAUUUGCUAAUGUACUUUCACCCUUUUUAACCGGAUUUUCCACAGAAAAAUCGGUUGAUAGGUUGAAGGUUGGUGCGACCAUUAAAACGUUUAAACCCGCUGUACUAAAAUUUUAAAAUAAAUUGGGACUUGGAUUGAGAGUUGUCUCAUGGGCACUCAUACCACAUCUUUUUAUUUAUAUCAUUUUGGUGAUGUUAGAAUGCUGCCAAACAUUGUCCAUGCCCUUUACUCAUGAACCGUUCAAUCAAAGCUUUUAAAAUUUUAAUUUGUCGUUACUGAUGCCAAAAUGGAGGUCAAGUUUGAUAUUGACGAUUUUUACUGUUUUUGAUCAUGAGGUAU
This 364-nucleotide long non-coding RNA is filed under the name Mytilus galloprovincialis (Mediterranean mussel). Lineage: Eukaryota; Metazoa; Mollusca; Bivalvia; Mytilida; Mytilidae. The record is from RNAcentral.